This 108-nucleotide small nuclear RNA is filed under the name Phascolarctos cinereus (koala). Lineage: Eukaryota; Metazoa; Chordata; Mammalia; Diprotodontia; Phascolarctidae. The record is from RNAcentral.
GUGCUCACUUUGACAGCAGAUAUGCUAAAAUCGGGACGAUACAGAGACGAUUAGCAAGACCCCCUGGGCAAGAAUGACCUGCAAGUUCGUGAAGCAUUCCAUAUUUAA